UUUUCUUUUUCUUUCUAUUUCUAGAGGACGAGGCGCAUCAGUGUUGACUCUUUUGUGAAUAUUGAUCAGUUUUUAGGGUGUCCUUCAGGAUAACCUGGUUCCUGAGUCAUUGUACCUCCUCUAGUUACUACUGUAAUAGCAUGAUCAUUCAUAUUGCCAUUCAUUUCAUUAAGAAAUUAUGUCUGAGAUUUAGCAACUUCUUCUAACUGAGUUUGUACCAUAGAGGCAUGUUUUCCUACACCUCUAACAUCAUUGGUGAUUCUAAAUAACAAGUCACUCAAGCGA
This 285-nucleotide long non-coding RNA is filed under the name Hordeum vulgare. RNAcentral describes it as "long non-coding RNA (HVUL_LNC010407)". The record is from RNAcentral. Lineage: Eukaryota; Viridiplantae; Streptophyta; Magnoliopsida; Poales; Poaceae.